AUGCAGACGACGAGCUUCGGGUCCUUGAACUCAUCGGUCGUGGAUGGUUUGGAUGCCGAGGUCGAUGGGAUGGGGAUUGUGGAGCUUGUCUUGAAGUACCAUUACCCGGACAAAUCCUUUUCCGGCUUGGAAUCGAGGUCCAAGCAUCGAUGCCCUGGUCAUGGGCUAGUUCCUGCUCGUCGGGUGGCUUGGGUAGAGUCUAGCACUGGCCGGUGUUUUUUAGGAUGCCCACUUGAUUUACCAGAUGAGUGUAAGUGGGUGGUUUGGGUUGAACCUCCUCCUCCACUGUGUGUGGCCCUUGCAUUUGAAGGUCUACAUGCAGAGGUUGAACACAGCUGGAUCAAGUCUCACAAAUUGCAGAUGGAAAAUAUGGAGCUGGCAAAAAAUAACUGUGCUUUGAAGAAGAAACUGAAGAGGAGAGAUGAGAUGCUCAAUGUUUGGGCAGUGUUCUUUGCUGGAUUUGUUGUAUGUGUUGUCCUUGCGGCAUUUUCAAGCCAGUAA
This 501-nucleotide ribosomal RNA is filed under the name Triticum aestivum (bread wheat). RNAcentral describes it as "partial small subunit ribosomal RNA". Lineage: Eukaryota; Viridiplantae; Streptophyta; Magnoliopsida; Poales; Poaceae. The record is from RNAcentral.